Small RNA from Streptococcus gordonii str. Challis substr. CH1, 112 nucleotides. It matches the Rfam family "Streptococcus RNA 266". The record is from Rfam. Lineage: Bacteria; Bacillati; Bacillota; Bacilli; Lactobacillales; Streptococcaceae.
AAUGAGGGUUUGGUCACUUUUUCAUUAUAGGUCUUAUGGGGCUUUUUUUCUACAACAAAAUAGACUCCAUAAUUCCUACAGUGGUUUUACCCACUACAGAAAUUAUAGAGUC